RNAcentral lists this ribosomal RNA (445 nucleotides) under uncultured bacterium. Its description in RNAcentral is "partial 16S ribosomal RNA". It matches the Rfam family "Bacterial small subunit ribosomal RNA", at positions 354 to 796 of the family's 1533-position model. The record is from RNAcentral.
GUGAGGAAUAUUGGUCAAUGGGCGAGAGCCUGAACCAGCCAAGUAGCGUGAAGGAUGACUGCCCUAUGGGUUGUAAACUUCUUUUAUAAAGGAAUAAAGUCGGGUAUGCAUACCCGUUUGCAUGUACUUUAUGAAUAAGGAUCGGCUAACUCCGUGCCAGCAGCCGCGGUAAUACGGAGGAUCCGAGCGUUAUCCGGAUUUAUUGGGUUUAAAGGGAGCGUAGAUGGAUGUUUAAGUCAGUUGUGAAAGUUUGCGGCUCAAACGUAAAAUUGCAGUUGAUACUGGAUAUCUUGAGUGCAGUUGAGGCAGGCGGAAUUCGUGGUGUAGCGGUGAAAUGCUUAGAUAUCACGAAGAACUCCGAUUGCGAAGGCAGCCUGCUAAGCUGCAACUGACAUUGAGGCUCGAAAGUGUGGGUAUCAAACAGGAUUAGAAACCCUAGUAGUCC